RNAcentral lists this ribosomal RNA (377 nucleotides) under uncultured organism. RNAcentral's name for it is "partial 16S ribosomal RNA". It matches the Rfam family "Bacterial small subunit ribosomal RNA", at positions 524 to 896 of the family's 1533-position model. The record is from RNAcentral.
GAGGGGGUGGGCAAGCGUUAUCCGGAUUUACUGGGCGUAAAAGAGCGCGGUAGGCGGUCUUAUAAGUCUCGGGCGCAAAUCUCACCGCUCAACGGUGAAACUUGUCGAGAUACUGUAAGACUUGUGAAUAGCAGGGGUAAGCGGAAUUCCCGGUGUAGGGGUAAAAUCCAUUGAUAUCGGGAGGAACACCAAUGGCAAAGGCAGCUUACUAGGCUAUUUCAGACGCUGAGGCGCGAAAGCGUGGGGAGCGAACGGGAUUAGAUACCCCGGUAGUCCACGCCGUAAACGAUGCUGACUAGCUAUUGGGAGUAUCGACCCUUUCUGUAGCGAAGCUAACGCGUUAAGUCAGCCGCCUGGGGAGUACGGUCGCAAGACUA